RNAcentral lists this ribosomal RNA (253 nucleotides) under uncultured bacterium. RNAcentral describes it as "partial 16S ribosomal RNA". It matches the Rfam family "Bacterial small subunit ribosomal RNA", at positions 524 to 776 of the family's 1533-position model. The record is from RNAcentral.
UACGUAGGCAGCGAGCGUUGUUCGGAAUUACUGGGCGUAAAGAGUGUGUAGGCGGUGUUCCCAGUCUGUUGUGAAAUCUCCCGGCUUAACUGGGAGGGUGCAGCGGAAACUAGAAUGCUAGAGGGUGGGAGAGGUAAGCGGAAUUCCUGGUGUAGCGGUGAAAUGCGUAGAUAUCAGGAGGAACACCUGUGGUGUAGACAGCUUACUGGACCACUUCUGACGCUGAGGCGCGAAAGCGUGGGGAGCAAACAGG